GGGUUGUGAGGUUAAGCGACUAAGCGUACACGGUGGAUGCCCUGGCAGUCAGAGGCGAUGAAGGACGUGCUAAUCUGCGAAAAGCGUCGGUAAGGUGAUAUGAACCGUUACAGCCGGCGAUGUCCGAAUGGGGAAACCCAGUGCAAUUCGUUGCACUAUCGUUAACUGAAUACAUAGGUUAACGAGGCGAACCGGGGGAACUGAAACAUCUAAGUACCCCGAGGAAAAGAAAUCAACCGAGAUUCCCCCAGUAGCGGCGAG
RNAcentral lists this ribosomal RNA (261 nucleotides) under Klebsiella pneumoniae. RNAcentral's name for it is "partial 23S ribosomal RNA". It matches the Rfam family "Bacterial large subunit ribosomal RNA", at positions 1 to 253 of the family's 2925-position model. Lineage: Bacteria; Pseudomonadati; Pseudomonadota; Gammaproteobacteria; Enterobacterales; Enterobacteriaceae. The record is from RNAcentral.